RNAcentral lists this unclassified non-coding RNA (1382 nucleotides) under uncultured Neocallimastigales. RNAcentral's name for it is "partial contains small subunit ribosomal RNA, internal transcribed spacer 1, 5.8S ribosomal RNA, internal transcribed spacer 2, and large subunit ribosomal RNA". The stretch from base 603 to 1382 matches the Rfam family "Eukaryotic large subunit ribosomal RNA", at positions 1 to 628 of the family's 3401-position model. The record is from RNAcentral. Lineage: Eukaryota; Fungi; Neocallimastigomycota; Neocallimastigomycetes; Neocallimastigales.
UUUCCGUAGGUGAACCUGCGGAAGGAUCAUUAAAAAAUGUGGUACCAUUAUUGGUACUAAUUAAUCAUCCUACCCUUUGUGAAUUUGUUUGUAACGAAUUUUUUAAAUGGGUCUUUCCCUAAGUUGGAUUGUAGUAAAAUACAAAAAGACUUAGGGGAAUGACUUUUUUAAAAGACUUUUUUUUUAAAUUAAAACUUUUUGUAUUCAUUUGUCUAAAAUUUAUUUUUAUAAUAUAAAAACAACUUUUGACAAUGGAUCUCUUGGUUCUCGCAACGAUGAAGAACGCAGCAAAAUGCGAUAAGUAGUGUGAAUUGCAGAAUACGUGAAUCAUCGAAUCUUCGAACGCAUAUUGCACUUUUUUAGUUUACUAAAAAAGUAUGUCUGUUUGAGUAUCAGUAAAAUAUUCUCACAAACAAUAUUGUUUUGUGGUAAUGAGUGUUUUACAACGAUAAACAAGUUGUUUCACUUUAAAUUCUUUUGUAAGUUGAUUUUACCAAUUACAAAUUAAAAUUGGAUAAAAUUUUCCUUUAACGAGGAAUAACCUAAACAAUUUUAAAUUUUUGGUUUGUAAAAUCAUCAAAGGAAUCUAUACAACAAUAACUUGAUCUCAAAUCAGAUAAGAGUACCCGCUGAACUUAAGCAUAUCAAUAAGCGGAGGAAAAGAAACUAACAAGGAUUCCCUUAGUAACGGCGAGUGAAGCGGGAAGAGCUCAAAUUUGAAAUCUUCAAGGUUUGACCUUGACGAAUUGUAGUUUAUAGAAGUGUUUUCUGUUGGAGUUUUGGUAAAAGUUCUUUGGAAUAGGACAUCAUAGAGGGUGAGAAUCCCGUAUUUGACCAUGACUUUCCAGCUGUGUGAUACACUUUCAAAGAGUCGGAUUGUUUGGGAAUGCAGUCCAAAAUGGGUGGUAAAUUUCAUCUAAAGCUAAAUAUUGGCGAGAGACCGAUAGCGAACAAGUACCGUGAGGGAAAGAUGAAAAGAACUUUGAAAAGAGAGUUAAACAGUACGUGAAAUUGUCAAAAGGGAAGCGUUUGACACCAGUGUUGUUUUCUCGAAAAUCAAUUUAAUGAGUUCUUGUUUUUAAGUUAUUGUGACUUUAUCAGCGCAUUUCUUAUUUUACUUGACUCAUUGAAUGCACUUUUCGUUUAACAAGUCAACAUCAAUUUCUUUGGUGGUAAAAAGUUUAAAGGAAGGUGGCUUGGACUUCGGUUCAAGUGUUUAUAGCCUUUUUUCUAUGCCAUCGGAGAGAUUGAGGUCUGCAGCGUAGAUCCUUCGGGGUUAGAUACCUUUGUGCUAAGUUAUAGUUUUUUAUAGACAACUUGUUGACUAUAAUUAACCCUGUAAUUAACUCGCUUAGGCUAUUUUACCUACGCUUAGGAUGUUG